GGACAAUGUCUGGGAAACUGCCUGAUGGAGGGGGAUAACUACUGGAAACGGUAGCUAAUACCGCAUAACGUCGCAAGACCAAAGUGGGGGACCUUCGGGCCUCUUGCCAUCAGAUGUGCCCAGAUGGGAUUAGCUAGUAGGUGGGGUAACGGCUCACCUAGGCGACGAUCCCUAGCUGGUCUGAGAGGAUGACCAGCCACACUGGAACUGAGACACGGUCCAGACUCCUACGGGAGGCAGCAGUGGGGAAUAUUGCACAAUGGGCGCAAGCCUGAUGCACCCAUGCCGCGUGUGUGAAAAAAGCCUUCGGGUUGUAAAGCACUUUCAGCGGGGAGGAAGGCGUUAAGGUUAAUAACCUUGUCGAUUGACGUUACCCGCAGAAAAAACACCGGCUAACUCCGUGCCAGCAGCCGCGGUAAUACGGAGGGUGCAAGCGUUAAUCGGAAUUACUGGGCGUAAAGCGCACGCAGGCGGUCUGUCAAGUCGGAUGUGAAAUCCCCGGGCUCAACCUGGGAACUGCAUUCGAAACUGGCAGGCUAGAGUCUUGUAGAGGGGGGUAGAAUUCCAGGUGUAGCGGUGAAAUGCGUAGAGAUCUGGAGGAAUACCGGUGGCGAAGGCGGCCCCCUGGACAAAGACUGACGCUCAGGUGCGAAAGCGUGGGGAGCAAACAGGAUUAGAUACCCUGGUAGUCCACGCCGUAAACGAUGUCGAUUUGGAGGUUGUGCCCUUGAGGCGUGGCUUCCGGAGCUAACGCGUUAAAUCGACCGCCUGGGGAGUACGGCCGCAAGGUUAAAACUCAAAUGAAUUGACGGGGGCCCGCACAAGCGGUGGAGCAUGUGGUUUAAUUCGAUGCAACGCGAAGAACCUUACCUGGUCUUGACAUCCACAGAACUUUCCAGAGAUGGAUUGGUGCCUUCGGGAACUGUGAGACAGGUGCUGCAUGGCUGUCGUCAGCUCGUGUUGUGAAAUGUUGGGUUAAGUCCCGCAACGAGCGCAACCCUUAUCCUUUGUUGCCAGCGGUCCGGCCGGGAACUCAAAGGAGACUGCCAGUGAUAAACUGGAGGAAGGUGGGGAUGACGUCAAGUCAUCAUGGCCCUUACGACCAGGGCUACACACGUGCUACAAUGGCAUAUACAAAGAGAAGCGACCUCGCGAGAGCAAGCGGACCUCAUAAAGUAUGUCGUAGUCCGGAUUGGAGUCUGCAACUCGACUCCAUGAAGUCGGAAUCGCUAGUAAUCGUAGAUCAGAAUGCUACGGUGAAUACGUUCCCGGGCCUUGUACACACCGCCCGUCACACCAUGGGAGUGGGUUGCAAAAGAAGUAGGUAGCUUAAGCCUA
This 1338-nucleotide ribosomal RNA is filed under the name Klebsiella pneumoniae. RNAcentral describes it as "bacterial SSU rRNA". It matches the Rfam family "Bacterial small subunit ribosomal RNA", at positions 108 to 1443 of the family's 1533-position model. Lineage: Bacteria; Pseudomonadati; Pseudomonadota; Gammaproteobacteria; Enterobacterales; Enterobacteriaceae. The record is from RNAcentral.